GACGAACGCUGGCGGCGUGCUUAACACAUGCAAGUCGAACGGAAAGGCCCUGCUUUUGUGGGGUGCUCGAGUGGCGAACGGGUGAGUAACACGUGAGUAACCUGCCCUUGACUUUGGGAUAACUUCAGGAAACUGGGGCUAAUACCGGAUAGGAGCUCCUGCUGCAUGGUGGGGGUUGGAAAGUUUCGGCGGUUGGGGAUGGACUCGCGGCUUAUCGGCUUGUUGGUGGGGUAGGGGCUUACCAAGGCUUUGACGGGUAGCCGGCCUGAGAGGGUGACCGGCGACAUUGGGACUGAGAUACGGCCCAGACUCCUACGGGAGGCAGCAGUGGGGAAUAUUGCACAAUGGGCGGAAGCCUGAUGCAGCAACGCCGCGUGCGGGAUGACGGCCUUCGGGUUGUAAACCGCUUUCGCCUGUGACGAAGCGUGAGUGACGGUAAUGGGUAAAGAAGCACCGGCUAACUACGUG
This 468-nucleotide ribosomal RNA is filed under the name uncultured bacterium. RNAcentral describes it as "partial 16S ribosomal RNA". It matches the Rfam family "Bacterial small subunit ribosomal RNA", at positions 28 to 507 of the family's 1533-position model. The record is from RNAcentral.